CGACCGCGGGCACAAGGUGAAAACCUGUGCAUGAGGAAAGUCCGGGCUCCAUAGGGCAAGGAUAACGGGUAACGCCCGCCGAAGGCAACUUCAGGAAAAGUGCAACAGAGAUAUACCGCCGCGCCUUCGUUCUUUUGCGUUUAUGACACAAGAGGACGAGCAAGCCAAGCUUGAGGCGUCGGUAAGGGUGGAAAGGCGAGGUAAGAGCUCACCCGACGGCAUGGAAGUGACCGUCGCUGUAAACUCUAUCCGGAGCAACACCGUGGAGAGAACAAUGCCUGCCCGGCAGUUCUCGAGGAGGUGGCUUGAGCGUAUCGGCAACGAUGCGCCUAGAUAGAUGGUCGUUCACGACAGAACCCGGCUUACAGGCACACUUG
Molecule: RNase P RNA, 377 nt
Filed under: pig gut metagenome
Description: Bacterial RNase P class A
Rfam family: Bacterial RNase P class A
About the family: Ribonuclease P (RNase P) is a ubiquitous endoribonuclease, found in archaea, bacteria and eukarya as well as chloroplasts and mitochondria. Its best characterised activity is the generation of mature 5'-ends of tRNAs by cleaving the 5'-leader elements of precursor-tRNAs.
Source: RNAcentral